GACGAACGCUGGCGGCGUGCUUAACACAUGCAAGUCGAACGCUGAAGCCUGCAGCUUGCUGUGGGUGGAUGAGUGGCGAACGGGUGAGUAACACGUGAGUAACCUGCCCUUCACUGGGGGAUAAGCCUUGGAAACGGGGUCUAAUACCGCAUAUGACUACGCAUCGCAUGGUGUGUGGUGGAAAGUUUUUUCGGUGAGGGAUGGGCUCGCGGCCUAUCAGCUUGAUGGUGGGGUGAUGGCCUACCAUGGCGACGACGGGUAGCCGGCCUGAGAGGGCGACCGGCCACACUGGGACUGAGACACGGCCCAGACUCCUACGGGAGGCAGCAGUGGGGAAUAUUGCACAAUGGGGGAAACCCUGAUGCAGCGACGCCGCGUGGGGGAUGACGGCCUUCGGGUUGUAAACCUCUUUCAGUAGGGAAGAAGCGCAAGUGACGGUACCUGCAGAAGAAGCACCGGCUAACUACGUGCCAGCCGCCGCCGUAACAC
RNAcentral lists this ribosomal RNA (489 nucleotides) under uncultured bacterium. RNAcentral's name for it is "bacterial SSU rRNA". It matches the Rfam family "Bacterial small subunit ribosomal RNA", at positions 28 to 526 of the family's 1533-position model. The record is from RNAcentral.